CUAAAAUAUUUUAUAUUUGGAGUUAGAAAAACCCCCUUCUUCAAAUUAAAAAAAAAAAAGUGGGGCAAAGGAAAUAUCCUUUUAAAACUCAAGCAUACUGGGUGUUUGCCUUGUAUCCUGUCAGAGGAAACAAAU
Leopardus geoffroyi (Geoffroy's cat) is the source of this 135-nucleotide small nucleolar RNA. RefSeq annotates it as small nucleolar RNA SNORA27. NCBI's taxonomy places the organism in Eukaryota, Metazoa, Chordata, Mammalia, Carnivora, Felidae. The record is from RefSeq and is a predicted model, not a curated record. The transcript has a single exon.